RNAcentral lists this ribosomal RNA (466 nucleotides) under uncultured bacterium. RNAcentral describes it as "bacterial SSU rRNA". It matches the Rfam family "Bacterial small subunit ribosomal RNA", at positions 330 to 792 of the family's 1533-position model. The record is from RNAcentral.
GCCAGACUCCUACGGGAGGCAGCAGUGAGGAAUAUUGGUCAAUGGGCGAGAGCCUGAACCAGCCAAGUCGCGUGAAGGAUGACGGCCCUACGGGUUGUAAACUUCUUUUGUCAGGGAGCAAUUGGGUCCACGCGUGGGCUUAGCGAGAGCACCUGAAGAAAAAGCAUCGGCUAACUCCGUGCCAGCAGCCGCGGUAAUACGUAGGGGGCAAGCGUUAUCCGGAUUUACUGGGUGUAAAGGGGGCGCAGACGGCAAUGCAAGCCAGGAGUGAAAGCCCGGGGCCCAACCCCGGGACUGCUCUUGGAACUGCAUGGCUGGAGUACAGGAGGGGCAGGCGGAAUUCCUAGUGUAGCGGUGAAAUGCGUAGAUAUUAGGAGGAACACCGGUGGCGAAGGCGGCCUGCUGGACUGUGACUGACGUUGAGGCCCGAAGGCGUGGGGAGCAAACAGGAUUAGAUACCCGAGUA